GAUGAACGCUAGCGACAGGCUUAACACAUGCAAUUCGAGGGGCAGCGGGGUUGUAGCAAUACAACUGCCGGCGACCGGCGCACGGGUGAGUAACACGUAUGUAACCUGCCCUCUGCAGGGGGAUAAGCGGAAGAAAUUCCGUCUAAUACCGCAUAAUACAAUUUGGAGACAUCUCCGGGUUGUCAAAGGAGUGAUCCGGCAGAGGAUGGACAUGCGGCGCAUUAGCUAGUCGGCGGGGUAACGGCCCACCGAGGCUACGAUGCGUAGGGGUUCUGAGAGGAAGGUCCCCCACACUGGUACUGAGACACGGACCAGACUCCUACGGGAGGCAGCAGUGAGGAAUAUUGGUCAAUGGGCGGAAGCCUGAACCAGCCAAGUCGCGUGAGGGAAGACGGUCCUAUGGAUUGUAAACCUCUUUUGCAGGGGAGCAAGGCGCGGUACGUGUACCGCGAAGGAGAGUACCCUGAGAAAAAGCAUCGGCUAACUCCGUGCCAGCAGCCGCGGUAAUACGGAGGAUGCGAGCGUUAUCCGGAUUUAUUGGGUUUAAAGGGUGCGCAGGCGGACUGUUAAGUCAGCGGUAAAAUGUCGGUGCUCAACACCGGCCGGCCGUUGAAAACUGGCAGCCUUGAGUGAGCGAGAAGUAUGCGGAAUGCGUGGUGUAGCGGUGAAAUGCAUAGAUAUCACGCAGAACUCCGAUUGCGAAGGCAGCAUACCGGCGCUCAACUGACGCUCAGGCACGAAAGCGUGGGUAUCGAACAGGCUUAGAUACCCUGGUAGUCCACGCAGUAAACGAUGAAUGCUCACUGUCCGGGCCGUUUAAGGCCUGGGUGGUCAAGCGAAAGCGUUAAGCAUUCCACCUGGGGAGUACGCCGGCAACGGUGAAACUCAAAGGAAUUGACGGGGGCCCGCACAAGCGGAGGAACAUGUGGUUUAAUUCGAUGAUACGCGAGGAACCUUACCCGGGCUCAAACGGAAGGGGACAGUAUGAGAAAUCAUACAUUCCUUCGGGACCGCUUCCGAGGUGCUGCAUGGUUGUCGUCAGCUCGUGCCGUGAGGUGUCGGCUUAAGUGCCAUAACGAGCGCAACCCCUAUCGACAGUUGCUAGCAGGUAAAGCUGAGGACUCUGUCGAGACUGCCGGCGCAAGCUGUGAGGAAGGCGGGGAUGACGUCAAAUCAGCACGGCCCUUACGUCCGGGGCGACACACGUGUUACAAUGGCAGGUACAGCGGGAGGCCACCCGGCGACGGGGCGCAGAACCCGAAAACCUGUCUCAGUUCGGAUUGGAGUCUGCAACCCGACUCCAUGAAGCUGGAUUAGCUAGUAAUCGCGCAUCAGCCACGGCGCGGUGA
RNAcentral lists this ribosomal RNA (1349 nucleotides) under uncultured bacterium. RNAcentral's name for it is "partial 16S ribosomal RNA". It matches the Rfam family "Bacterial small subunit ribosomal RNA", at positions 28 to 1365 of the family's 1533-position model. The record is from RNAcentral.